RNAcentral lists this ribosomal RNA (468 nucleotides) under uncultured bacterium. RNAcentral describes it as "partial 16S ribosomal RNA". It matches the Rfam family "Bacterial small subunit ribosomal RNA", at positions 28 to 507 of the family's 1533-position model. The record is from RNAcentral.
GACGAACGCUGGCGGCGUGCUUAACACAUGCAAGUCGAACGGAAAGGCCCUGCUUUUGUGGGGUGCUCGAGUGGCGAACGGGUGAGUAACACGUGAGUAACCUGCCCCUGACUUUGGGAUAACUUCAGGAAACUGGGGCUAAUACCGGAUAGGAGCUCCUGCUGCAUGGUGGGGGUUGGAAAGUUUCGGCGGUUGGGGAUGGACUCGCGGCUUAUCAGCUUGUUGGGGGGGUAGUGGCUUACCAAGGCUUAGACGGGUAGCCGGCCUGAGAGGGUGGACGGCCACAAUGGGACUGAGAGACGGCCCAGACGCCUACGUGAGGCAGCAGUGGAGAAUAUGGCACAACGGGCGGGAGCGUGAGGCAGCAACGCCGCGUGCGGGAUGACGGCUUUCGGGUUGUAAACCGCUUUCGACUUUGACGAAGCGUGAGUGACGGUAAUGGGUAAAGAAGCACCGGCUAACUACGUG